GAUGAACGCUGGCGGCGUGCCUAAUACAUGCAAGUCGAGCGAACAGACGGGGAGCUUACUCCUCUGACGUUAGCGGCGGACGGGUGAGUAACACGUGGGUAACCUACCUAUAAGACUGGGAUAACUUCGGGAAACCGGAGCUAAUACCGGAUAACAUGUUGAACCGCAUGGUUCAACAGUGAAAGACGGUCUUGCUGUCACUUAUAGAUGGAUCCGCGUCGCAUUAGCUAGUUGGUAAGGUAACGGCUUACCAAGGCAACGAUGCGUAGCCGACCUGAGAGGGUGAUCGGCCACACUGGAACUGAGACACGGUCCAGACUCCUACGGGAGGCAGCAGUAGGGAAUCUUCCGCAAUGGGCGAAAGCCUGACGGAGCAACGCCGCGUGAGUGAAGAAGGUCUUCGGAUCGUAAAACUCUGUUAUUAGGGAAGAACAAAUGUGUAAGUAACUAUGCACGUCUUGACGGUACCUAAUCAGAAAGCCACGGCUAACUACGUG
This 497-nucleotide ribosomal RNA is filed under the name uncultured bacterium. Its description in RNAcentral is "partial 16S ribosomal RNA". It matches the Rfam family "Bacterial small subunit ribosomal RNA", at positions 28 to 507 of the family's 1533-position model. The record is from RNAcentral.